ACCAGGUUUGUGCCUGCUUUGUAAACCCUGCAGCCACUAGCCACUCACAGCUGGUUAAAUCUAAAUUAGUCUGCAUCAUGUGCAGCAUAAGAUCCAGUUUCUUGCACCAGUUGGACCAAGUGCUGGUGGUCACAAGGAACACGACGGUUACAGCGGUGGGCCAGGACGGGAGAUGGGGUGUGCACUGGCCGGUCAGCCCAAGGGAGGCGUGGCAGCUGCUGUGGCCAGAGGCCACACCCAGGGGGCAGCUGGAGAAGUGGCUACAAGUGGACACACACACAGGGGCCGUGCAGGCCACACCUCUGAUCAAAGUGCAGUAAACUAGGAGUCAGUCAUCAAAAUGGAACCCACAGCUGUGAAAGGAGAGACGCUUAUGAACAGUUUGUGUUCAAAGAGCAGAUCAUGAGGGGACUCAGCCACGUUCGUGGGGCACAGUCGAGGCCAGGGAGCGAUACGGCCUGUCAGGGCCUCUGUCCCGGGGACAGUGGUCAGUACUGCUGACCUGCUGCCUGCCCCAGGCAUUUCUGGCGGUAACUUUUCGAUGCUCUGCUUCUACUUUCUUGGGUUUAUCCUGUUAUUAUUUUUCUAUUCCUUGAUUUGGAUUUUAUUUAAAUUUUGCAGUGCUGGUGAUGGAACCCAGGGCAUCGUGUGUGCCAGGCAAGUGCCCCACGUGAGCUGCACCUCAGCCCUGGGUUC
RNAcentral lists this long non-coding RNA (696 nucleotides) under Marmota monax (woodchuck). Lineage: Eukaryota; Metazoa; Chordata; Mammalia; Rodentia; Sciuridae. The record is from RNAcentral.